This 484-nucleotide ribosomal RNA is filed under the name uncultured bacterium. RNAcentral describes it as "partial 16S ribosomal RNA". It matches the Rfam family "Bacterial small subunit ribosomal RNA", at positions 30 to 507 of the family's 1533-position model. The record is from RNAcentral.
AUUGAACGCUGGCGGCAGGCCUAGCACAUGCAAGUCGAGCGGAUGAAGGGAGCUUGCUCCUGGAUUCAGCGGCGGACGGGUGAGUAAUGCCUAGGAAUCUGCCUGGUAGUGGGAGAUAACGUCCGGAAACGGGCGCUAAUACCGCAUACGUCCUGAGGGAGAAAGUGGGGGAUCUUCGGACCUCACGCUAUCAGAUGAGCCUAGGUCGGAUUAGCUAGUUGGUGGGGUAAAGGCCUACCAAGGCGACGAUCCGUAACUGGUCUGAGAGGAUGAUCAGUCACACUGGAACUGAGACACGGUCCAGACUCCUACGGGAGGCAGCAGUGGGGAAUAUUGGACAAUGGGCGAAAGCCUGAUCCAGCCAUGCCGCGUGUGUGAAGAAGGUCUUCGGAUUGUAAAGCACUUUAAGUUGGGAGGAAGGGCAGUAAGUUAAUACCUUGCUGUUUUGACGUUACCAACAGAAUAAGCACCGGCUAACUUCGUG